CAAGUCGAACGCGAAAGUCCCGAAAGGGAUGAGUAGAGUGGCAAACGGGUGAGUAACACGUGGGUGACCUGCCUUCGAGUGGGGGAUAACGUCCCGAAAGGGACGCUAAUACCGCGUAAUAUGCCGCCUUUUAACAGGUGGACAUCAAAGCUGGGGAUCGCAAGACCUAGCGCUUGAAGAGGGGCCCGCGUCUGAUUAGCUAGUUGGUGGGGUAAUGGCUCACCAAGGCAACGAUCAGUAUCCGGCCUGAGAGGGCGGACGGACACACUGGGACUGAGACACGGCCCAGACUCCUACGGGAGGCAGCAGUGGGGAAUUGUUCGCAAUGGGCGCAAGCCUGACGACGCAACGCCGCGUGGAGGAUGAAGACCUUCGGGUCGUAAACUCCUUUCGAUCGAGACGAAUGGCCUCCGGGUGAACAAUCCGGAGGAGUGACGGUACCGAGAGAAGAAGCCCCGGCUAACUCCGUGCCAGCAGCCGCGGUAAUACGGGGGGGGCAAGCGUUGUUCGGAAUUACUGGGCGUAAAGGGCUCGUAGGUGGCCAACUAAGUCAGACGUGAAAUCCCUCAGCUUAACUGGGGAACUGCGUCUGAUACUGGAUGGCUUGAGUUUGGGAGAGGGACGCGGAAUUCCAGGUGUAGCGGUGAAAUGCGUAGAUAUCUGGAGGAACACCGGUGGCGAAGGCGGCGUCCUGGACCAACACUGACACUGAUGAGCGAAAGCCAGGGGAGCAAACGGGAUUAGAUACCCCGGUAGUCCAGGCCCUAAACGAUGAAUGCUUGGUGUGGCGGGUAUCGAU
RNAcentral lists this ribosomal RNA (799 nucleotides) under uncultured Pseudomonadota bacterium. RNAcentral's name for it is "bacterial SSU rRNA". It matches the Rfam family "Bacterial small subunit ribosomal RNA", at positions 58 to 836 of the family's 1533-position model. The record is from RNAcentral. Lineage: Bacteria; Pseudomonadati; Pseudomonadota.